RNAcentral lists this long non-coding RNA (1520 nucleotides) under Callithrix jacchus (white-tufted-ear marmoset). RNAcentral's name for it is "lncRNA (ENSCJAG00000076478.1)". Lineage: Eukaryota; Metazoa; Chordata; Mammalia; Primates; Cebidae. The record is from RNAcentral.
AGACUCUGUCCUUGGUCACCUCAAUGUUUAUGCCUAGGGUCCAGGAGGGAGGCCAUGUGGUCCAACUACGUGGGCACUAUCUCACCAAGGCUAAUCUAGCUACUUCUGUUGCUGACUGUCUGACUGGUGCUGAGCUCUUGACAUGGCACCAUCCCCUGAGAAAACCAACCAGCGCCUUGAAGCUGGCUCAGAUUUGGGUAUUUAGUGGGAGUUGGUGAGAGGUAGGUUGGAAUGUCCAUUGAAAAGGAUUUAGGAUUUUGGUUCUGAAACAGAAUGGGCAGACUCACUUUUCCUUACUCCUCCUUUCUAAAAACAACUAAACACCCUGGAAAUUAUCCCACAGAAAACGAUAAAAUGACUCUAAAAGUUGGGUAAAAGAAGGUGGAUUGGCCAGAGACCUCAGGACAGGAGGAAAGAUAAUAUAGUGAGUUCCUCAGGUUUUUUUUUUUUUAUCUCUCAUGUAGCCUGACUGGGUGUCAGAGAGGUCUGCAACCAGCACCUCCAACAGGGCAUACUCUUUUUUUUUUUUUUUUUCUGAGACCAAGUCUUGCUCUAUUGCCCAGGCUGGAGUGCAGUGUUGUGGUCUCGGCUCACUGCAAGCUCAUGUUUCAUAAAUUAACAUCAGUGCUUCAAAAGCAAUCCCAUAAAAAUGCCUCAACAAUCAAUGUCAAGUCAUUGAUUUACAGAACAUUAACUGUUAGAAUCGGGAGACUGGGAUGCCACACCCACUAGCUGUGUGACCUUGGGCAAGAUUUCCAGCCUUGCUGGGCACUGAUUUCUCUGUCUGCAGAGUGGACGUUGGGCAGACUAUGCAGCAGCGCACUGGUGGGUCCCAUGGGUUGUCCACCCAAUAACUAUGUCCCUUGUGUGCUAACAGAACCCUGACUCCAGGUAGACGAUCAAGGACUUCAGCUAAAAAUAGACAUGUUCCAGCCUCCCUUGCAGUGAAGAUACCCUGCACGCACACUUCUGCACAAUCCAAGUACAAGAGGUUCCUGUCCCUUCCAGAAAAAAACAGGAGACCCUUGCUGGGAGAAAGCCCUUUACCUCCUGCCCUUUCCCCUUCCUGCCUGGAUCUCGAUCUGAGAUCUGCAGCUGCAGCGAGUAUCUGGCAACCAGGAAGAGACCAGCAAUAGAACGGUGGGAACCAGCCAUUGCACAAGCAGCCUCCACCCUUCAGAGGAAUGAAUUCCUCUCCAUUUCGGCCAACACCACGGAAUACACUGGAAAGAAGAUGAGAGGUUGGUGUUCUGAUGUUACUAGGCCCUCGUUUUCUCUGGCUCACUGGCUUUUAGAGCUGGAAGGGCCCUGUGCAUGAUGUAUUCUCUAAACCCGUCCUAGAGCAAGCAAGAAGGUGGGUUGGUCAUGCUGUCCUCUGGGGCAGGCCGUCCCAGUUUACACUCCCACAACAGAGUAUGGGAAUCUCUGCGUAUGCUGGGUUUGUCCCACAAAGGAAAUAGAUGAGGGAGCACAGACAGUGAAGGCCAACCAAAUAGUCAACCCCGCCUCUCACUUCCAAG